This 23-nucleotide unclassified non-coding RNA is filed under the name Mus musculus (house mouse). Its description in RNAcentral is "oocyte_clustered_small_RNA63". The record is from RNAcentral. Lineage: Eukaryota; Metazoa; Chordata; Mammalia; Rodentia; Muridae.
UAGAGGCAGCGGGGUCACCAUGG